AUCCCAGAUAGAUUUCUUGUGUUUUAUUUGAUUCAUGGAGGCAAACAUCAACAAUCGAAGUUUUCUGAUAGUACCUUUUUAUGUUUCCUAGAAGGUUUUUUAAUAGUGCCUUUCCAUGCAUAA
This is a small nucleolar RNA of Ziziphus jujuba (common jujube), 123 nucleotides long. Lineage: Eukaryota; Viridiplantae; Streptophyta; Magnoliopsida; Rosales; Rhamnaceae. The record is from RefSeq and is a predicted model, not a curated record.